RNAcentral lists this small nuclear RNA (174 nucleotides) under Ailuropoda melanoleuca (giant panda). Its description in RNAcentral is "U4 spliceosomal RNA (ENSAMEG00000025890.1)". The stretch from base 1 to 74 matches the Rfam family "U4 spliceosomal RNA". Lineage: Eukaryota; Metazoa; Chordata; Mammalia; Carnivora; Ursidae. The record is from RNAcentral.
GUAUUUGCGCAGUGGCAGUAUCGUAGCCAAUGAGGUUUAUCCGAGGCGCGAUUAUUGCUAAUUGAAAACUCUUGGGGCGCCUGGGUGGCACAGCGGUUAAGCGUCUGCCUUCAGCUCAGGGCGUGAUCCUGGCGUUAUGGGAUCGAGCCCCACAUCAGGCUCCUCCGCUAUGAG